GUGGACGCCAGUCUGCAUGGAGCCGACCUUGAAAUACCACCCUUUAAUGUUUGAUGUUCUAACGUGGACCCGUGAUCCGGGUUGCGGACAGUGUCUGGUGGGUAGUUUGACUGGGGCGGUCUCCUCCUAAAGAGUAACGGAGGAGCACGAAGGUUGGCUAAUCCUGGUCGGACAUCAGGAGGUUAGUGCAAUGGCAUAAGCCAGCUUGACUGCGAGCGUGACGGCGCGAGCAGGUGCGAAAGCAGGUCAUAGUGAUCCGGUGGUUCUGAAUGGAAGGGCCAUCGCUCAACGGAUAAAAGGUACUCCGGGGAUAACAGGCUGAUACCGCCCAAGAGUUCAUAUCGACGGCGGUGUUUGGCACCUCGAUGUCGGCUCAUCACAUCCUGGGGCUGAAGUAGGUCCCAAGGGUAUGGCUGUUCGCCAUUUAAAGUGGUACGCGAGCUGGGUUUAGAACGUCGUGAGACAGUUCGGUCCCUAUCUGCCGUGGGCGCUGGAGAACUGAGGGGGGCUGCUCCUAGUACGAGAGGACCGGAGUGGACGCAUCACUGGUGUUCGGGUUGUCAUGCCAAUGGCACUGCCCGGUAGCUAAAUGCGGAAGAGAUAAGUGCUGAAAGCAUCUAAGCACGAAACUUGCCCCGAGA
RNAcentral lists this ribosomal RNA (641 nucleotides) under Salmonella enterica subsp. enterica serovar Bonn. RNAcentral's name for it is "partial 23S ribosomal RNA". It matches the Rfam family "Bacterial large subunit ribosomal RNA", at positions 2164 to 2804 of the family's 2925-position model. Lineage: Bacteria; Pseudomonadati; Pseudomonadota; Gammaproteobacteria; Enterobacterales; Enterobacteriaceae. The record is from RNAcentral.